GCGGACGUAGCUCAGCUGGUAGAGCGCCAGGUUGUGGUCUUGGAUGUCGUGGGUUCGAGCCCCAUCGUUCGCCCCA
This 76-nucleotide transfer RNA is filed under the name Acidiphilium sp. RNAcentral describes it as "tRNA-His". It matches the Rfam family "tRNA". Rfam says of the family: Transfer RNA (tRNA) molecules are approximately 80 nucleotides in length. Their secondary structure includes four short double-helical elements and three loops (D, anti-codon, and T loops). Lineage: Bacteria; Pseudomonadati; Pseudomonadota; Alphaproteobacteria; Acetobacterales; Acidocellaceae. The record is from RNAcentral. RNAcentral also lists the same sequence under 6 other names.